GGUGGGUUGGCCGAGUGGUCUAAGGCAGCGGUUUGCUAAACCGCGGGGGCCUAAACAGCCCCACGCAGGUUCGAAUCCUGCACCCACCG
Molecule: transfer RNA, 89 nt
Filed under: Candidatus Berkelbacteria bacterium
Lineage: Bacteria; Candidatus Berkelbacteria
Description: tRNA-Ser
Rfam family: tRNA
About the family: Transfer RNA (tRNA) molecules are approximately 80 nucleotides in length. Their secondary structure includes four short double-helical elements and three loops (D, anti-codon, and T loops).
Source: RNAcentral